Long non-coding RNA from Vicia villosa (hairy vetch), 449 nucleotides. RefSeq lists it as uncharacterized. Lineage: Eukaryota; Viridiplantae; Streptophyta; Magnoliopsida; Fabales; Fabaceae. The record is from RefSeq and is a predicted model, not a curated record. The transcript is spliced from 3 exons.
GGGUGAAGAGAAACCAUAUAGUAGAGAAACAAAAUAGAAUUCUGACACAGUGAGGGUUCCAAAAUUGUGAAUGUGAAUGGGUGUAAUGUUUAAAUUGUAAAUUUCUACUGUUCUUCACUUAUACCUAGAGGUGAUGCUCAUGGAUAUAAUGUUCAAUUAUGGGGAUACAUUUCUAACACCGUGACGGUAACUGGUGUAAAAGUAUGAUCAUUCAAAGCGCGCUUGGGACUGCAGAUUCCACAGCACCAAUCCAAUACAGGUACAGAGAUAAGAUCAACAAAGCAGGAUGUCAUGUAGAUGCUGAUACAACUGAUAGGAAGAUUCAGAAGAAGCUAAUACAUGACAACUUAAAUGAUAAUGUUGUAGUAAUUUUAAGUCUUUGGUCAUGUGAAUAACUAUUGCCAAAUAGUGAUUAGUUUGUCAAACAGCAACUUAUAUAAAUUUAUUAG